AUGCCCUGCCAGGGCCCCACUGUGGCAACCCAGAAGCAGACGUUGGCCAAGCUCUGGAAGAGGCGGCCCUCCCACAGAACCUUCGGAGCGCACACAGCAGGUGUGGCAUAUUGCCAUCGGUCCUGUGGGGCAGAGAGAGGAAAAGUCGACCUUCAGGUUCUGGAAGCCCUGGUGGGACCCAGUGGCCAGCCUUGGGAGAGCACUCAGGCCGCACCACCCCCCAGGCUUGCUCCGAAGUUCUUGUCUGCCUUGGGCCAGAUCCUGACACCAACUAGCUGAGUCCCAGGUCACCUUCCCUCAGCUCCUGCAUCUGCACGCUCCCUGGGGAGAAGAACCCGGCUGUGCUCCACACCGACUGUGCGCCAUGCCCUCUACUGAGAAUUUUCCAUACACAAUACAAUUAUACACAGGCUCUAAGUCCUUCAGCAACAUCCCUCUGUGCUGCGUGCGCUUUUGACAGUCUGGGCAGGGCGUGGGGUGAGCAGUGACUUGGCGGAGAUGGGGGAAGAUGAGUGAGAGGGCAUCUGUUACUGAUUUGCCCAUAGGUCCCCUGGGCUCUUUACCUGGCUUGGGAAAUUCUCUUCCCCUGAGGCUGUCGAGCGAUUAAAGAGCAAGACACUUGCUUCCUCAGCUUCCCUAGCGGCCAAGUAUAGGCAUGUGACCUGGGAUCGGCCAAUCAGAUGCCCCUGCUCUGGUCUUGGAGUCAGGAUGGGGGAAGGGGAAUGACUCUAGGGAUGGGCAGUGGCUACAUCCUGUUUCUGGGGAACAGCCGCCUCUGUGGGGCCAAUAGCACAGUCCAGUGUUUGGAGUCCAGUUCAGACGUCAGCGGGGAGAAGAGAGUCAUCUAGGGUUCCGGGGGGCCCUUGGGUUCUCAAGAAGCAGCUCUGGGGUGUGGAUUUGUCAGCCUUCCCCACAGUGGAGUUCUCCAGCCCACUGUCGAUUCUACGACCUACCCAGGGUCCUGUCAGAACUUCCCUUUUGUGCUUAACUCAGCUAGACUGGCUUCCCAGGUGCUGCAGUGCUAAAUAAUCCACCUGCCAAUUCAGGAGCUUCAAGAGACAGCGGGUUCGAUCCCUGGGAUGGGAAGAUCCCCUGGAGGAGGAAAUGGCAACCCACUCCAGUAUUCUUGCCUGGAAAAUUCCAUGGACAGAGGAGCCUGGUGGGUAGCUGACAGCCAUGGGCUCUCAAAGAGUCUGACUCGACUGAGCAUGAGCACACACAGCUAGAACAAUCUUUUGUAGGUUGCAGCUACAGGAAGGGCAUAGGGCAUGGUUGGCUCCCAAGCCAUCCCACUGGGACAGGAGACCUGGGCGUCUCUGCCCCUCCUGACAGUGACCAUGGCCAUGGCAUGUUCCCGACCUGGGUGGUCACUCAG
RNAcentral lists this long non-coding RNA (1375 nucleotides) under Bos grunniens (domestic yak). RNAcentral describes it as "lncRNA (ENSBGRG00000022622.1)". Lineage: Eukaryota; Metazoa; Chordata; Mammalia; Artiodactyla; Bovidae. The record is from RNAcentral.